RNAcentral lists this ribosomal RNA (1138 nucleotides) under Actinotalea sp. RMS35. RNAcentral's name for it is "bacterial SSU rRNA". It matches the Rfam family "Bacterial small subunit ribosomal RNA", at positions 195 to 1350 of the family's 1533-position model. The record is from RNAcentral. Lineage: Bacteria; Bacillati; Actinomycetota; Actinomycetes; Micrococcales; Cellulomonadaceae.
GCGUCUGGAAAGAAUUUUGGUCAGGGAUGGGCUCGCGGCCUAUCAGCUUGUUGGUGGGGUAACGGCCCACCAAGGCGACGACGGGUAGCCGGCCUGAGAGGGCGACCGGCCACACUGGGACUGAGACACGGCCCAGACUCCUACGGGAGGCAGCAGUGGGGAAUAUUGCACAAUGGGCGAAAGCCUGAUGCAGCGACGCCGCGUGGGGGAUGAAGGCCUUCGGGUUGUAAACCCCUUUCAGCAGGGAAGAAGCGAAAGUGACGGUACCUGCAGAAGAAGCGCCGGCUAACUACGUGCCAGCAGCCGCGGUAAUACGUAGGGCGCAAGCGUUGUCCGGAAUUAUUGGGCGUAAAGAGCUCGUAGGCGGUCUGUCGCGUCUGCUGUGAAAACCCGAGGCUCAACCUCGGGCCUGCAGUGGGUACGGGCAGACUAGAGUGCGGUAGGGGAGACUGGAAUUCCUGGUGUAGCGGUGGAAUGCGCAGAUAUCAGGAGGAACACCGAUGGCGAAGGCAGGUCUCUGGGCCGCAACUGACGCUGAGGAGCGAAAGCAUGGGGAGCGAACAGGAUUAGAUACCCUGGUAGUCCAUGCCGUAAACGUUGGGCACUAGGUGUGGGGCUCAUUCCACGAGUUCCGUGCCGCAGCAAACGCAUUAAGUGCCCCGCCUGGGGAGUACGGCCGCAAGGCUAAAACUCAAAGGAAUUGACGGGGGCCCGCACAAGCGGCGGAGCAUGCGGAUUAAUUCGAUGCAACGCGAAGAACCUUACCAAGGCUUGACAUAUACCGAAAACUCAUGGAGACAUGGGGUCCGCAAGGGCGGUAUACAGGUGGUGCAUGGUUGUCGUCAGCUCGUGUCGUGAGAUGUUGGGUUAAGUCCCGCAACGAGCGCAACCCUCGUCCUAUGUUGCCAGCACGUCAUGGUGGGGACUCAUAGGAGACUGCCGGGGUCAACUCGGAGGAAGGUGGGGAUGACGUCAAAUCAUCAUGCCCCUUAUGUCUUGGGCUUCACGCAUGCUACAAUGGCCGGUACAAAGGGCUGCGAUACCGCGAGGUGGAGCGAAUCCCAAAAAGCCGGUCUCAGUUCGGAUUGGGGUCUGCAACUCGACCCCAUGAAGUCGGAGUCGCUAGUAAUCGCAGAUC